Molecule: ribosomal RNA, 468 nt
Filed under: uncultured bacterium
Lineage: Bacteria
Description: partial 16S ribosomal RNA
Rfam family: Bacterial small subunit ribosomal RNA
Source: RNAcentral
GACGAACGCUGGCGGCGUGCUUAACACAUGCAAGUCGAACGGAAAGGCCCUGCUUUUGUGGGGUGCUCGAGUGGCGAACGGGCGAGUAACACGUGAGUAACCUGCCCUUGACUUUGGGAUAACUUCAGGAAACUGGGGCUAAUACCGGAUAGGAGCUCCUGCUGCAUGGUGGGGGUUGGAAAGUUUCGGCGGUUGGGGAUGGACUCGCGGCUUAUCAGCUUGUUGGUGGGGUAGUGGCUUACCAAGGCUUUGACGGGUAGCCGGCCUGAGAGGGUGACCGGCCACAUUGGGACUGAGAUACGGCCCAGACUCCUACGGGAGGCAGCAGUGGGGAAUAUUGCACAAUGGGCGGAAGCCUGAUGCAACAACGCCGCGUGCGGGAUGACGGCCUUCGGGUUGUAAACCGCUUUCGCCUGUGACGAAGCGUGAGUGACGGUAAUGGGUAAAGAAGCACCGGCUAACUACGUG